This is a non-coding RNA of Trichophyton benhamiae CBS 112371, 102 nucleotides long. The record is from Rfam. Lineage: Eukaryota; Fungi; Ascomycota; Eurotiomycetes; Onygenales; Arthrodermataceae.
GGGAGAUUGGCCGAGUGGUUAUGGCGUCAGGUUUAGGCUUACGUGAUCGUAUUUCUUACCCUGAUUUCUUUUGAUUCGCGCGUUCGAAUCGCGCAUCUCUCA